GGGAAAUGAGCUCAAGUGGUAAAGCGCUCGCUUAGCAUGUGAGCGGUACAUGGAUCGAUACCCUGAUUCUCCA
Molecule: transfer RNA, 73 nt
Filed under: Dreissena polymorpha
Lineage: Eukaryota; Metazoa; Mollusca; Bivalvia; Myida; Dreissenidae
Description: tRNA-Ala
Source: RNAcentral